UCGAGGAUCUUCGGCAAUGGGGGCAACCCUGACCGAGCGACGCCGCGUGUGCGACGAAGGCCUUCGGGUUGUAAAGCACUGUCGAGGGGGAGAAAAGCCCGCAAGGGUGUGAUCUAUCCCUGGAGGAAGCUCGGGCUAAGUUCGUGCCAGCAGCCGCGGUAAGACGAACCGAGCGAACGUUGUUCGGAAUCACUGGGCUUAAAGGGCGCGUAGGCGGGCUGCCGCGUCCGGGGUGAAAUCCUCCCGCUCAACGGGAGAACGGCCUCGGAUACGGGCGGCCUCGAGGGGGGUAGGGGCAUCUGGAACUGUGGGUGGAGCGGUGAAAUGCGUUGAUAUCCACAGGAACUCCGGUGGCGAAGGCGAGGUGCUGGACCCCUUCUGACGCUGAGGCGCGAAAGCCAGGGGAGCGAACGG
RNAcentral lists this ribosomal RNA (414 nucleotides) under uncultured bacterium. Its description in RNAcentral is "bacterial SSU rRNA". It matches the Rfam family "Bacterial small subunit ribosomal RNA", at positions 355 to 775 of the family's 1533-position model. The record is from RNAcentral.